UUGUUUUUCAGGAAACUAUAUUUCCUUACUCUUCUCCUGAUUCUACUCAUUUAUUUCCUCCUUAUGUUGUCACUUCUUCUUCAGUUCCUUCUUCCUCUCCACCUCCUAUUACUCCUCUUACCACAAGUACUUCUCCUCCUAGUUCUCCUGAUCAUUGUAAUACUGUUAGUUCUCCUCCUUCUUCUCAUGUUCCUUCUCCUGUUCUGAGAAGAUCCCUUAGAACUCACAAUCCACCUUCCUACCUUGAUGAUUAUAUUUGUUCCUCAGUUUCUGGUUCAAAGAUUCUUUCUCCCUCUGAUCUUUGCUGGCAAGAACCACAAUUUUAUCAUCAAGAUGCCUCCAAUACUGCUUGGCAGGAGGCUAUGAUGAGGAAUUUCAAGCUUUGGAAGCUAAUAAUACUUUGGACAUUCUUCCUCUACCUCCUGUUAAGUUGUCAGCUGAUGUUGGGCAUUUACU
Molecule: long non-coding RNA, 456 nt
Filed under: Nicotiana benthamiana
Lineage: Eukaryota; Viridiplantae; Streptophyta; Magnoliopsida; Solanales; Solanaceae
Description: long non-coding RNA (NBEN_LNC015194)
Source: RNAcentral